CUAUGCACUGCACAUUCCCUGACUGAAACCAAAAAAUAGACCAGCAAAGCAAACUAAUUGAAACAUGGUACUCUGCAUCUCACUUCAGCACCAUCGCUCCACUCUAGAGCUGCACAGUUCAGAGUUAAUAGACUGCCGUGUCAGGGAUGCCACUCACCGGGGUGAAACGCAACUCAAUGGUCUGUGAGAACAUACAUGCAAUACAGAGGACCUAAGAAUGUUUUUCAUGGAUACCAAAGAGGAGUCAGAUGCAUGGAUACCAAAGAGGAGUCAUGGAUACCAAAGUAAUAUUGUACUGCUGCCUGGAGUCCGUGGCCCGCUGCACUGGCAUUUUCACUGAAGACUUAUUACUUCUGCAGACAUCUUCAAGGGAGUGAAUUUAAGGAAGUGAGUAGCUAUGCUUUUAUGAAAGCAAAUGCAUAAAAAGGCUGUAUACUACUUUAUAAAGUGUUCAGGGGUUGCGGUGCUUUUUUUUUAAAAUAUAAAUUAUUCAGUUACAAUGAUG
Molecule: long non-coding RNA, 505 nt
Filed under: Coturnix japonica (Japanese quail)
Lineage: Eukaryota; Metazoa; Chordata; Aves; Galliformes; Phasianidae
Description: lncRNA (ENSCJPG00005020613.1)
Source: RNAcentral